Molecule: transfer RNA, 74 nt
Filed under: Chrysemys picta bellii (western painted turtle)
Lineage: Eukaryota; Metazoa; Chordata; Testudines; Emydidae
Description: tRNA-Asn (GTT) (tRNA-Asn-GTT-3-1)
Rfam family: tRNA
About the family: Transfer RNA (tRNA) molecules are approximately 80 nucleotides in length. Their secondary structure includes four short double-helical elements and three loops (D, anti-codon, and T loops).
Source: Rfam by way of RNAcentral
GUCUCUGUGGCACAAUGGGUCAGCGCGUUCGGCUGUUAACCGAAAGGAUGGUGGUUCGAGCCCACCCAGGGACG